UAGGGAAUCUUCGGCAAUGGGGGGAACCCUGACCGAGCAACGCCGCGUGAGUGAAGAAGGUUUUCGGAUCGUAAAGCUCUGUUGUUAAGGAAGAACGAGUGUGAGAAUGGAAAGUUCAUGCUGUGACGGUACUUAACCAGAAAGGGACGGCUAACUACGUGCCAGCAGCCGCGGUAAUACGUAGGUCCCGAGCGUUGUCCGGAUUUAUUGGGCGUAAAGCGAGCGCAGGCGGUUAGAAAAGUCUGAAGUGAAAGGCAGUGGCUCAACCAUUGUAGGCUUUGGAAACUGUUUAACUGGAGUGGAGAAGGGGAGAGUGGAAUUCCAUGUGGAGCGGUGAAAUGCGUAGAUAUAUGGAGGAACACCGGUGGCGAAAGCGGCUCUCUGGUCUGAAACUGACGCUGAGGCUCGAAAGCGUGGGGAGCGAACAGG
RNAcentral lists this ribosomal RNA (429 nucleotides) under Bacteroidota bacterium. RNAcentral describes it as "Bacteroidetes bacterium partial 16S ribosomal RNA". It matches the Rfam family "Bacterial small subunit ribosomal RNA", at positions 355 to 776 of the family's 1533-position model. The record is from RNAcentral. Lineage: Bacteria; Pseudomonadati; Bacteroidota.